UACGUAGGUGGCGAGCGUUGUCCGGAAUUACUGGGCGUAAAGGGUGCGUAGGCGGCUCCUUAAGUGAGGUGUGAAAUCCCUGGGCUCAACCCAGGAACUGCACUUCAAACUGGGGAGCUAGAGUGCAGGAGAGGAAAGCGGAAUUCCCGGUGUAGCGGUGAAAUGCGUAGAGAUCGGGAGGAACACCAGUGGCGAAGGCGGCUUUCGGGACUGUAACUGACUUUGAGGCACGAAAGCGUGGGGAGCAAACAGG
Molecule: ribosomal RNA, 253 nt
Filed under: uncultured bacterium
Lineage: Bacteria
Description: partial 16S ribosomal RNA
Rfam family: Bacterial small subunit ribosomal RNA
Source: RNAcentral